CAGUUGGGGCAAGUAUGGACACAACAUUUAAGCUGGAUUCAGCUCUAAAUUUGGAUUGUGAUUAAAUAGUUGACACAGCAUAGGUUUCUGACACAGAAUGAAUGUGGUCUAAUGAACUUAAAAUAUUUUUUUUUGCCUUUGAGCAAUUCACUAUGCUGUUGAAUAUUAAUCCUCUCAAAAAAAAUGUUUGAAGAAAUUUUCUUUUUAUUUAUG
This 213-nucleotide long non-coding RNA is filed under the name Mytilus galloprovincialis (Mediterranean mussel). Lineage: Eukaryota; Metazoa; Mollusca; Bivalvia; Mytilida; Mytilidae. The record is from RNAcentral.